CCUACGGGUGGCAGCAGUGAGGAAUAUUGGUCAAUGGACGAGAGUCUGAACCAGCCAAGUAGCGUGAAGGAUGACUGCCCGAUGGGUUGUAAACUUCUUUUAUAUGGGAAUAAAAUGUUCCACGUGUGGGCUUUUGUAUGUACCAUAUGAAUAAGGAUCGGCUAACUCCGUGCCAGCAGCCGCGGUAAUACGGAGGAUCCGAGCGUUAUCCGGAUUUAUUGGGUUUAAAGGGAGCGUAGGUGGGUUGUUAAGUCAGUUGUGAAAGUUUGCGGCUCAACCGUAAAAUUGCAGUUGAAACUGGCAGUCUUGAGUACAGUAGAGGUGGGCGGAAUUCGUGGUGUAGCGGUGAAAUGCUUAGAUAUCACGCAGAACUCCGAUUGCGAAGGCAGCUCACUGGACUGCAACUGACACUGAGGCUCGAAAGUGUGGGUAUCAAACAGGAUUAGAUACCCUGGUAGUC
RNAcentral lists this ribosomal RNA (460 nucleotides) under uncultured bacterium. Its description in RNAcentral is "partial 16S ribosomal RNA". It matches the Rfam family "Bacterial small subunit ribosomal RNA", at positions 338 to 795 of the family's 1533-position model. The record is from RNAcentral.